AAAAAGACAAACCCUGAGUUUCCGUGUCCAACGUUUGAUUAUCCGUCUUAUAUGAAAUUUUUUUAUAAUUAGUAUUUUCAUUGUUGUUAGAUGAUAAAACAUAAUUAAUACUUUAUGCGUGACUUAUAUUUUUAUUUUUUUUUCAUAAUUUUUUUAAAUAAGACGGACGGUCAAACAUUGGACAUGAAAACCCAGGGUUUGUCUUUUU
This is a non-coding RNA of Oryza barthii, 208 nucleotides long. The record is from Rfam. NCBI's taxonomy places the organism in Eukaryota, Viridiplantae, Streptophyta, Magnoliopsida, Poales, Poaceae.